AUGAAUGGAUUGGUGUGGAAUUGUCGGGGAAUCAGCGGCUCCCGGACAGUUCGUGACCUCCUGACCCUCAAUCAAGUAUACCAUCCUCGCUUUAUUUUCUUAUGUGAGACUAGACAAGGCAAAGAUAGAGUUCGGCGACUACGUAACUGGCUUGGUCUGAAAGGCUUUGCUGGUGUGAGUAGAGAAGGGCUUAGUGGAGGGUUGGCCCUCUUCUGUAUGUGGAGAUAA
RNAcentral lists this ribosomal RNA (228 nucleotides) under Triticum aestivum (bread wheat). RNAcentral's name for it is "partial small subunit ribosomal RNA". The record is from RNAcentral. Lineage: Eukaryota; Viridiplantae; Streptophyta; Magnoliopsida; Poales; Poaceae.